CCUACGGGGGGCAGCAGUGAGGAAUAUUGGGCAAUGGACGAGAGUCUGAACCAGCCAAGUAGCGUGAAGGAUGACUGCCCUAUGGGUGGUAAACUUCUUUUAUAAAGGAAUAAAACGAGGCACGUGUGCCUUUUUGCAUGUACUUUAUGAAUAAGGAUCGGCUAACUCCGUGCCAGCAGCCGCGGUAAUACGGGGGAUCCGAGCGUUAUCCGGAUUUAUUGGGUUUAAAGGGAGCGUAGAUGGGUUGUUAAGUCAGUUGUGAAAUUUUGCGGCUCAACCGUAAAAUUGCAAUUGAUACUGGCAGUCUUGAGUACAGUUGAGGUAAGCGGAAUUCGUGGUGUAGCGGUGAAAUGCUUAGAUAUCACGAAGAACCCCGAUUGCGAAGGCAGCUUACUAAACUGUGACUGACAUUGAUGCUCGAAAGUGUGGGUAUCAAACAGGAUUAGAUACCCGUGUAGUC
RNAcentral lists this ribosomal RNA (460 nucleotides) under uncultured bacterium. Its description in RNAcentral is "partial 16S ribosomal RNA". It matches the Rfam family "Bacterial small subunit ribosomal RNA", at positions 338 to 795 of the family's 1533-position model. The record is from RNAcentral.